CAACGAAACGCGUGUCGGGGCUCCAUCUUUUACCCGGUCAGUCUGAUUACCUCUAACAGACAGAUCAUGAUACUCGGCGUAUACACAGCACGUGUAUUACCGCAUGCUUCAACAUUUGACUGACCUGGGCAAUAUGAUAAUCACUGGUGUACUGCUCUUUAGUGAUAGCUAGAUUUUGCUUACAAGCUAAGCACAGGUGCAAUGAAAGCACAGAUUAGUACCUAUUUUGAGCAGUUCACCAAUCUUAUUUUUGUGUCAGUUUUACUUUUACCCACAGUCUUUCUCUGGUCUCAACUCCAGUUUUCUUUUGAAUUUGUAUUUAGGUAUAGAGCACUGUUGAGCUG
Pelobates cultripes (western spadefoot toad) is the source of this 344-nucleotide non-coding RNA. Lineage: Eukaryota; Metazoa; Chordata; Amphibia; Anura; Pelobatidae. The record is from the annotation of a GenBank genome assembly.